CUCUUGGGUGGUUAGCUCAUCCCCAGAUGAAAGGGGGUGGUGCUGUGUCAGUAUUCGAAGCGUUAAUGUUUGCCUGUGCGUUUGCAAGCUUAAUCUUAGCAAUCCUGUCAUUUAACCAAAAAAAAUAACCCACCCAUGAGCUGCUAGGCAAUAGGUGGAUUAUCCCGCUAUUAGCUGACCCCCUUGAAGGGAAUCUUCUAUUGGGAGACCGAUUGGUGUAACUAGCACC
RNAcentral lists this small RNA (229 nucleotides) under Bacillus massilinigeriensis. RNAcentral's name for it is "BsrG". It matches the Rfam family "BsrG". From Rfam's summary of the family: bsrE, bsrG and bsrH pair through intermolecular interactions with antisense sRNAs. Lineage: Bacteria; Bacillati; Bacillota; Bacilli; Caryophanales; Bacillaceae. The record is from RNAcentral.